GAUGAAGAACGCAGCGAAAUGCGAUAAGUAAUGUGAAUUGCAGAAUUCAGUGAAUCAUCGAAUCUUUGAACGCACAUUGCGCCCCCUGGUAUUCCGGGGGGCAUGCCUGUCCGAGCGUCAUUAUAACCCUCAAGCUCAGCUUGGUGUUGGGGCCUGCUGCACUGGCAGCCCUUAAAAUCAGUGGCGGCGCCAUCUGGCUCUAAGCGUAGUAAUUCUUCUCGCUAUGGAGUCCUGGUGGAUGCUUGCCAUCAACCCCCAAUUUUUCUAUGGUUGACCUCGGAUCAGGUAGGGAUACCCGCUGAACUUAAGCAUAUCAAUAAGCGGAGGA
RNAcentral lists this unclassified non-coding RNA (328 nucleotides) under soil metagenome. RNAcentral describes it as "partial contains 5.8S ribosomal RNA, internal transcribed spacer 2, and large subunit ribosomal RNA". The stretch from base 1 to 120 matches the Rfam family "5.8S ribosomal RNA", at positions 35 to 154 of the family's 154-position model. The record is from RNAcentral.